UGAGGAAAAUUGGUCAAUGGGCGAGAGCCUGAACCAGCCAAGCAGCGUGCAGGAUGACGGCCCUAUGGGUUGUAAACUGCUUUUAUAUGGGAAUAAAGUGAGGGACGUGUCCCUUAUUGCAUGUACCAUACGAAUAAGGACCGGCUAAUUCCGUGCCAGCAGCCGCGGUAAUACGGAAGGUCCAGGCGUUAUCCGGAUUUAUUGGGUUUAAAGGGAGCGUAGGCUGUUUGUUAAGCGUGUUGUGAAAUGUAGGAGCUCAACUUUUAGAUUGCAGCGCGAACUGGCAGACUUGAGUGCGCACAACGUAGGCGGAAUUCAUGGUGUGGCGGUGAAAUGCUUAGAUAUAAUGACGAACUCCGAUUGCGAAGGAAGCUGACGGGGGCACAACUGACGCUAAAGCUCGAAGGUGCGGGUAUCGAACAGG
Molecule: ribosomal RNA, 424 nt
Filed under: Verrucomicrobiota bacterium
Lineage: Bacteria; Pseudomonadati; Verrucomicrobiota
Description: Verrucomicrobia bacterium partial 16S ribosomal RNA
Rfam family: Bacterial small subunit ribosomal RNA
Source: RNAcentral